This 239-nucleotide unclassified non-coding RNA is filed under the name Hevea brasiliensis (rubber tree). Lineage: Eukaryota; Viridiplantae; Streptophyta; Magnoliopsida; Malpighiales; Euphorbiaceae. The record is from RNAcentral.
UGUUAAGGCUAAAAGACUGGUUCGUAGUCCAGCACAUAAAGGGAAAGCACAAUUUAAUCCCAGAUCUCCUGUCUAGACCUAGAGAACUCCACCUCAUUAGAUCACAUUUUACAUUUCCCUUAAUCUUAAUGGCUUCCUCAUCCUCUCCAAAUACUCCUUGUUUUCUCAUCCCUGUACCAGACAGUUUCCCUCUAGGUUGCUCUCCCAAUCAACCUAUUCCAAAAAUAGCUCAAUUUGCA